UAAAACCUGUUUAGCCUUUAACAGAAGCUGAUGCACACAGAAGCCGUUAAGCAAAUACCUGUCACUUGAAUAGCAUUUAAUUACGAAGGAUUAGAGGUUCUCUAUGGAAACUUUUCUCAAGGAUUUGGCGAUAAAUUAGAAAAGAAAAAACAAGAAUAAUAAUUCUUAUAAUGUGAUUUUACUAUCUUGGAGUCUCAUCCCGUACAGCACAGAUUACUAAAUAUAAAGGGUUCUGUGCAAGUAUGUAGUGUUAUAUAUCUUUACAUUAUAAUAUAAAUAACUAUAUUUUUAAGCGGUCUACAUUAUGGGUAACACUAGAGUAAGUAACACAGAACCCGUCGUAUCAAGACGAUGGGCUAUCAGACUUUCUGGCGCCUGAUUCUUAACGUCCAGAGAUGAUUUUUAAUCAACUGUGCAUAUCUUUUGGUUAGACUGAAAGCCGACCCUAACAUAGUUGGGGUGGGAUCAGAAAGUUCUUUAGCGAACCUCAAGUCAAUAGAUACCGUUUUACCGUAGAUUUUUGUAACGGAAAAGUGUGUGUGAUUAAGACGCCAGAAGCUAGUCUGUAGUAUAUUCAACUCUAUUAUUUUUAUUAGUAUUACUUAACCUAUGUAUUCCGACGAGUAUGAAGUUAGUAUGUGACUGCGCGGGAAUACCAUUUUUUACUGCACAGCUAAUUAGCUCACUUCACGCUCCACGACCGGUAUAUAAUGUCAUGGAAUUAUUAAAAUGAACUAUUUUCCUCUCAGACAUUGAGACAGACACGUUUUCAUCAUGAAGUUAUUUUUAUUCGUAUUGUUUGUUGUGUCGUUGGUUUCAGUCACAGUGUGGUCGGCAAGUUUGCCAACAGUGAAACAAUUGAUAGACAAUAAUUCACACUCGAGGGUCAAAAGGCAAGCCUUUAUGAACCCGAGUUGUUUGUGCGCAAAAAAUCAUGUAUUCCUGAUACAGAAGUGCGUAACUUGUGAAGAAUAUAAAACUUCAACAGACUCAGACCAGUGCCCAUAUUGUCGAAAAUAGACCUCUUCUCAAAAUGGACACUGAAUUUUACUUAAAUGAACACGUAGGCAUGUAGGAAUCAACUUAAGUAGUAAAUGAAGAAUCAUAGUAGCUGAAAUUAUUUUUUUUUAUAUAAAAAAUAAACUAUCAUCAGAUUGACUGUAGAGUGUUCCUCACAAAUUAUGUUUUUGCACAGAGAAGAAGAAUAAAAAUAGAAAUAUUGUAUCGAAAUUAUUACCUUGGUUAGAUCUGUCAUUUUUACAAACAUAUACACACAACACACAUUGCACCUUGCAUCACCACGGACGAGGGUGUUGGUGAAGGAAUUCUGUGGCUGUGCUGUGUGUGUGUGUACCACCGAGAUGCACGUGUGUCAAAGGAAGCUAAACGGCGCUUUUACACUGGCGGAUUUUCUGCUCGAUAUAUUCUGCUGCCGCUUGGACAUUAGUUGAACCCUUGAAAAAUCGGCGAAUGUAAAACGGCUGUAGAACCGGGCGACAGAUUUUUGCCCUUGGACUGUGCUGGGCUAAAAAUCCACCAGAAUGAAAGCACUGAAAACUACUCGACGCUUGAGUGAGUUCGGCUGGUGUACCUACGUGCCAAAGGUGCAUAGGAGUUAAUGUUAAAAUGAGAUACGCAUUAGUAUUUAUUGAGACGGGUGCACGGGCCGUAUAUGAAUCAUAUAAUUUUAAAGUAAAUGAGGAAAAUUGUUAAUUAAUUCAUGAAAUAAAGUCGUAAACUUUACAAUUAAUGGUGUUUGUUUAUUAGUUGAAUGUUUUCCCUGUCUUAAAACCUAUCUAUAACAAUUAAGGAACUGAACAAGUAUUCAA
Molecule: long non-coding RNA, 1829 nt
Organism: Helicoverpa zea (corn earworm)
Lineage: Eukaryota; Metazoa; Arthropoda; Insecta; Lepidoptera; Noctuidae
Exons: 2
Source: RefSeq, a predicted model, not a curated record